Molecule: ribosomal RNA, 295 nt
Filed under: uncultured microorganism
Description: partial 16S ribosomal RNA
Rfam family: Bacterial small subunit ribosomal RNA
Source: RNAcentral
GUGCCAGCAGCCGCGGUAAUACGUAGGUGGCAUANCGCGUUGUCCGGAAUUAUUGGGCGUAAAGGGCUCGCAGGCGGUUUCUUAAGUCUGAUGUGAAAGCCCCCGGCUCAACCGGGGAGGGUCAUUGGAAACUGGGGAACUUGAGUGCAGAAGAGGAGAGUGGAAUUCCACGUGUAGCGGUGAAAUGCGUAGAGAUGUGGAGGAACACCAGUGGCGAAGGCGACUCUCUGGUCUGUAACUGACGCUGAGGAGCGAAAGCGUGGGGAGCGAACAGGAUUAGAUACCCUGGUAGUCC